UACGAAGGGAGCGAGCGUUGUUCGGAAUCACUGGGCUUAAAGCGUGCGUAGGCGGAUUAGUAAGUCAGAAGUGAAAUCCCGGGGCUUAACCCCGGAACUGCUUUUGAGACUGCUAGUCUUGAAUUCGGUAGAGGUUAGUGGAAUGUCCAGUGUAGAGGUGAAAUUCGCAGAUAUUGGACGGAACACCAGUGGCGAAGGCGACUAACUGGACCGAUAUUGACGCUGAGGCACGAAAGCGUGGGUAGCAAACAGG
Molecule: ribosomal RNA, 253 nt
Filed under: uncultured bacterium
Lineage: Bacteria
Description: partial 16S ribosomal RNA
Rfam family: Bacterial small subunit ribosomal RNA
Source: RNAcentral